UUCAUUGUAAAAGCACAAUACUGUCGACUUCUACUUAUUCAUUAAAUUAGAUUCACUAAAUGAAAUCUUUUUUUCCAGACUUACAAUGUGUCUUCACCUCAUGGACCAACUUUUUAAAGUUUGCAGCCAAAGACAGCUGUCCCUACUGCCUCAAAAGAAUCCAGGCCACUGAGACACAUCUGAUGAGAAGGCAUUACCUGUUCACUUUACUGAGGAAGGCACUGAAAAGUUUGUGGUACCAUGUAUGUGCAAAGACAGAAUCCAGGGAAGAAGCCACUGGCACUGCCCAUACUGCAAAAAGAUAAUUUAUCGGAAAUGUAACUUUGAGGGGCACAUAUCCAAACCACAUGGUUUUACAAUACUACAGCAAAACCAAGAUGCAGAGAUAGAUCAGCCCUCUGUCUUUGAGGAGGAGGUCCCCCUGAGUCCUGAACCCUGGUGUCAGCACAAACUAGGCAGUCUGGGCCAGGAGGACCAAAAGGCCUCACUGCUGCUUCAAGUCAAAACAGAACAGGAAGAGGAAACAUGGAGACAAAGCAUGCCGGAAG
This is a long non-coding RNA of Lates calcarifer (barramundi perch), 548 nucleotides long. RefSeq lists it as uncharacterized. Lineage: Eukaryota; Metazoa; Chordata; Actinopteri; Centropomidae. The record is from RefSeq and is a predicted model, not a curated record. The transcript is spliced from 4 exons.